AGCAGCCGCGGUAAUUCCAGCUCCAAUAGCGUAUAUUAAAGUUGUUGCAGUUAAAAAGCUCGUAGUUGAAUUUCGGAAUCAAUACGUCGGUCGUGCCACUGGUAUGAACUGGCGUCGUUGAUUUCUCCUUUCUGAGGAACCAUGAUGUCAUUAAUUUGGUGUGGUGGGAAAUCAGGACUGUUACUUUGAAAAAUUAGAGUGUUUAAAGCAGGCCUACGCUUGAAUACAUUAGCAUGGAAUAAUGAAAUAGGACGUUCGAACCUAUUUUGUUGGUUUCUAGGAUCAACGUAAUGAUUAAUAGGGAUAGUUGGGGCAUUAGUAUUCAAUUGU
RNAcentral lists this ribosomal RNA (330 nucleotides) under uncultured Glomus. RNAcentral describes it as "SSU rRNA". It matches the Rfam family "Eukaryotic small subunit ribosomal RNA", at positions 569 to 905 of the family's 1831-position model. The record is from RNAcentral. Lineage: Eukaryota; Fungi; Glomeromycota; Glomeromycetes; Glomerales; Glomeraceae.